AACGAACGCUGGCGGCAUGCCUAACACAUGCAAGUCGAACGAGACCUUCGGGUCUAGUGGCGCACGGGUGCGUAACGCGUGGGAACCUGCCCUUAGGUUCGGAAUAACUCCCCGAAAGGGGUGCUAAUACCGGAUAAGGUCUUCGGACCAAAGAUUUAUCGCCUUUGGAUGGGCCCGCGUUGGAUUAGCUAGUUGGUAGGGUAAAAGCCUACCAAGGCGACGAUCCAUAGCUGGUCUGAGAGGAUGAUCAGCCACACUGGGACUGAGACACGGCCCAGACUCCUACGGGAGGCAGCAGUGGGGAAUAUUGGACAAUGGGCGAAAGCCUGAUCCAGCAAUGCCGCGUGAGUGAUGAAGGCCUUAGGGUUGUAAAGCUCUUUUACCCGGGAUGAUAAUGACAGUACCGGGAGAAUAAGCUCCGGCUAACUACGUG
This 433-nucleotide ribosomal RNA is filed under the name uncultured bacterium. RNAcentral's name for it is "partial 16S ribosomal RNA". It matches the Rfam family "Bacterial small subunit ribosomal RNA", at positions 29 to 507 of the family's 1533-position model. The record is from RNAcentral.